UAGGGAAUUUUCCACAAUGGACGAAAGUCUGAUGGAGCAACGCCGCGUGUGCGAAGAAGGUUUUCGGAUUGUAAAGCACUGUUGUAAGGGAAGAAUAAGGUAAACAGGAAAUGGUUUAUCGAUGACGGUACCUUACCAGAAAGCCACGGCUAACUACGUGCCAGCAGCCGCGGUAAUACGUAGGUGGCAAGCGUUGUCCGGAAUUAUUGGGCGUAAAGGGCGUGUAGGCGGUAAAAUAAGUCUGAUGUGAAAUCUCAUAGCUCAACUAUGAAACUGCAUUGGAAACUGUUUAACUAGAGUGUCGGAGAGGAAAGCGGAAUUCCAUGUGUAGCGGUGAAAUGCGUAGAUAUAUGGAGGAACACCAGUGGCGAAGGCGGCUUUCUGGACGACUACUGACGCU
This 400-nucleotide ribosomal RNA is filed under the name uncultured bacterium. RNAcentral describes it as "bacterial SSU rRNA". It matches the Rfam family "Bacterial small subunit ribosomal RNA", at positions 355 to 747 of the family's 1533-position model. The record is from RNAcentral.